AGAGUUUGAUCAUGGCUCAGGAUGAACGCUAGCUACAGGCUUAACACAUGCAAGUCGAGGGGCAGCGGGGAGUAGCAAUACUUCGCCGGCGACCGGCGCACGGGUGAGUAACACGUGUGCAACCAACCCCGUACCGGGAGAUAACCCGCGGAAACGUGGACUAACAUCCCAUAAGACUCUAGAGCCGCAUGGCUCUGGAUUUAAAAUUCCGGUGGUACGGGACGGGCACGCGCGACAUUAGGUAGUUGGCGGGGUAACGGCCCACCAAGCCGACGAUGUCUAGGGGUUCUGAGAGGAAGGUCCCCCACACUGGAACUGACGACACGGUCCAGACUCCGUACGGGAGGCA
RNAcentral lists this ribosomal RNA (349 nucleotides) under uncultured bacterium. RNAcentral describes it as "bacterial SSU rRNA". It matches the Rfam family "Bacterial small subunit ribosomal RNA", at positions 8 to 350 of the family's 1533-position model. The record is from RNAcentral.